This 459-nucleotide ribosomal RNA is filed under the name uncultured ammonia-oxidizing beta proteobacterium. RNAcentral's name for it is "bacterial SSU rRNA". It matches the Rfam family "Bacterial small subunit ribosomal RNA", at positions 202 to 644 of the family's 1533-position model. The record is from RNAcentral. Lineage: Bacteria; Pseudomonadati; Pseudomonadota; Betaproteobacteria.
AAGCAGGGGAUCGUAAGACCUUGCGCUUUUGGAGUGGCCGAUGCCUGAUUAGCUAGUUGGUGGGGUAAAGGCCUACCAAGGCGACGAUCAGUAGUUGGUCUGAGAGGACGACCAGCCACACUGGGACUGAGACACGGCCCAGACUCCUACGGGAGGCAGCAGUGGGGAAUUUUGGACAAUGGGCGAAAGCCUGAUCCAGCAAUGCCGCGUGAGUGAAGAAGGCCUUCGGGUUGUAAAGCUCUUUCAGUCGAGAAGAAAAGAUCGUGAUGAAUAAUCACAAUUCAUGACGGUAUCGACAGAAGAAGCACCGGCUAACUACGUGCCAGCAGCCGCGGUAAUACGUAGGGUGCAAGCGUUAAUCGGAAUUACUGGGCGUAAAGGGUGCGCAGGCGGCUUUGUAAGUCAGAUGUGAAAUCCCCGGGCUUAACCUGGGAAUUGCGUUUGAAACUACAAAGCUUA